ACGAACGCUGGCGGCGUGCCUAACACAUGCAAGUCGAGGGAGAAAAAGGGCUUCGGCUCUUGAGUAAACCGGCGCACGGGUGAGUAACACGUAGGUAACGUACCUUGGAAUCUGGGAUAACCAGUCGAAAGAUUGGCUAAUACCGGAUACGACUGCGGAGGCUCCGGCUUCCGUAGUGAAAGACGGCCUCUGUUUACAUGCUGUCGUUCCUAGAUCGGCCUGCGCACCAUUAGCUAGUGGUGGGGUAACGGCCCACCAAGGCUGAGAUGGUUAGCUGGUCUGAGAGGAUGGCCAGCCACACUGGGACUGAGACACGGCCCAGACUCCUACGGGAGGCAGCAGCGGGGAAUAUUGCGCAAUGGGGAAACCCUGACGCAGCGACGCCGCGUGGGUGAUGAAGGCCUUC
This 406-nucleotide ribosomal RNA is filed under the name uncultured bacterium. Its description in RNAcentral is "bacterial SSU rRNA". It matches the Rfam family "Bacterial small subunit ribosomal RNA", at positions 29 to 419 of the family's 1533-position model. The record is from RNAcentral.